This 895-nucleotide ribosomal RNA is filed under the name Lecanicillium fusisporum. RNAcentral's name for it is "LSU rRNA". It matches the Rfam family "Eukaryotic large subunit ribosomal RNA", at positions 37 to 962 of the family's 3401-position model. The record is from RNAcentral. Lineage: Eukaryota; Fungi; Ascomycota; Sordariomycetes; Hypocreales; Cordycipitaceae.
CACAUAUCAAUAAGCGGAGGAAAAGAAACCAACAGGGAUUGCCCCAGUAACGGCGAGUGAAGCGGCAACAGCUCAAAUUUGAAAUCUGGUCCCCAGGGCCCGAGUUGUAAUUUGUAGAGGAUGCUUUUGGCAAGGUGCCUUCCGAGUUCCCUGGAACGGGACGCCAUAGAGGGUGAGAGCCCCGUCUGGUCGGAUACCGCGCCUCUGUAAAGCUCCUUCGACGAGUCGAGUAGUUUGGGAAUGCUGCUCAAAAUGGGAGGUAUAUGUCUUCUAAAGCUAAAUAUUGGCCAGAGACCGAUAGCGCACAAGUAGAGUGAUCGAAAGAUGAAAAGCACUUUGAAAAGAGGGUUAAAAAGUACGUGAAAUUGUUGAAAGGGAAGCGCCUAUGACCAGACUUGGGCCCGGUGAAUCAUCCAGCGUUCUCGCUGGUGCACUUUGCCGGGCACAGGCCAGCAUCAGUUUGGCGCGGGGGAUAAAGGCUUUGGGAAUGUGGCUCCCUCGGGAGUGUUAUAGCCCAUUGCGCAAUACCCUGCGCCGGACUGAGGUACGCGCAUUUGCAAGGAUGCUGGCGUAAUGGUCAUCAGCGACCCGUCUUGAAACACGGACCAAGGAGUCGUCUUCGUAUGCGAGUGUUCGGGUGUCAAACCCCUACGCGUAAUGAAAGUGAACGCAGGUGAGAGCUUCGGCGCAUCAUCGACCGAUCCUGAUGUUCUCGGAUGGAUUUGAGUAAGAGCAUACGGGGCCGGACCCGAAAGAAGGUGAACUAUGCCUGUAUAGGGUGAAGCCAGAGGAAACUCUGGUGGAGGCUCGCAGCGGUUCUGACGUGCGAAUCGAUCGUCAAAUAUGGGCAUGGGGGCGAAAGACUAAUCGAACCUUCUAGUAGCUGGUUCCGCGG